UACGUAGGGCGCGAGCGUUGUCCGGAUUUAUUGGGCGUAAAGAGCUCGUAGGCGGCUUGUCGCGUCGAAUGUGAAAACCUGCAGCUCAACUGCAGGCUUGCAUUCGAUACGGGCAGGCUCGAGUUCGGUAGGGGAGACUGGAAUUCCUGGUGUAGCGGUGAAAUGCGCAGAUAUCAGGAGGAACACCGGUGGCGAAGGCGGGUCUCUGGGCCGAUAUUGACGCUGAGGAGCGAAAGCGUGGGGAGCGAACAGG
This 253-nucleotide ribosomal RNA is filed under the name uncultured bacterium. Its description in RNAcentral is "partial 16S ribosomal RNA". It matches the Rfam family "Bacterial small subunit ribosomal RNA", at positions 524 to 776 of the family's 1533-position model. The record is from RNAcentral.